CAGCAGCCGCGGGAAUACGAAGGGGGCUAGCGUUGUUCGGAAUCACUGGGCGUAAAGCGCACAUAGGCGGAUACUUAAGUCAGGGGUGAAAUCCCGGGGCUCAACCUCGGAACUGCCUUUGAUACUGGGUAUCUUGAGUCCGGGAGAGGUUGGUGGAACUCCGAGUGUAGAGGUGAAAUUCGUAGAUAUUCGGAAGAACACCAGUGGCGAAGGCGGCCAACUGGCCCGGUACUGACGCUGAGGUGCGAAAGCGUGGGGAGCAAACAGGAUUAGAUACCCGAGUAGUCCCUGUCUCUUAUAC
This 301-nucleotide ribosomal RNA is filed under the name uncultured bacterium. RNAcentral's name for it is "partial 16S ribosomal RNA". It matches the Rfam family "Bacterial small subunit ribosomal RNA", at positions 509 to 807 of the family's 1533-position model. The record is from RNAcentral.